GGGCCUAUAGCUCAGGUGGCUAGAGCGCACGCCUGAUAAGCGUGAGGUCGAUAGUUCAAGUCUAUCUAGGCCCACCA
This 77-nucleotide transfer RNA is filed under the name Desulfocurvibacter africanus. Its description in RNAcentral is "tRNA-Ile". It matches the Rfam family "tRNA". From Rfam's summary of the family: Transfer RNA (tRNA) molecules are approximately 80 nucleotides in length. Their secondary structure includes four short double-helical elements and three loops (D, anti-codon, and T loops). RNAcentral also lists the same sequence under 4 other names. Lineage: Bacteria; Pseudomonadati; Thermodesulfobacteriota; Desulfovibrionia; Desulfovibrionales; Desulfovibrionaceae. The record is from RNAcentral.